AUUGAACGCUGGCGGCAUGCUUUACACAUGCAAGUCGGACGGCGGCACAGAGAAGCUUGCUUCUUGGGUGGCGAGUGGCGAACGGGUGAGUAAUAUAUCGGAACGUACCGAGUAAUGGGGGAUAACUAAUCGAAAGAUUAGCUAAUACCGCAUAUUCUCUGAGGAGGAAAGCAGGGGACCUUCGGGCCUUGCGUUAUUCGAGCGGCCGAUAUCUGAUUAGCUAGUUGGUGGGGUAAAGGCCUACCAAGGCGACGAUCAGUAGCGGGUCUGAGAGGAUGAUCCGCCACACUGGGACUGAGACACGGCCCAGACUCCUACGGGAGGCAGCAGUGGGGAAUUUUGGACAAUGGGCGCAAGCCUGAUCCAGCCAUGCCGCGUGUCUGAAGAAGGCCUUCGGGUUGUAAAGGACUUUUGUCAGGGAAGAAAAGGCUGUUGCUAAUAUCAAUAGCUGAUGACGGUACCUGAAGAAUAAGCACCGGCUAACUACGUG
This 490-nucleotide ribosomal RNA is filed under the name uncultured bacterium. Its description in RNAcentral is "partial 16S ribosomal RNA". It matches the Rfam family "Bacterial small subunit ribosomal RNA", at positions 30 to 507 of the family's 1533-position model. The record is from RNAcentral.